RNAcentral lists this transfer RNA (88 nucleotides) under Nitriliruptorales bacterium. RNAcentral describes it as "tRNA-Ser". It matches the Rfam family "tRNA". From Rfam's summary of the family: Transfer RNA (tRNA) molecules are approximately 80 nucleotides in length. Their secondary structure includes four short double-helical elements and three loops (D, anti-codon, and T loops). Further hydrogen bonds mediate the characteristic L-shaped molecular structure. tRNAs have two regions of fundamental functional importance: the anti-codon, which is responsible for specific mRNA codon recognition, and the 3' end, to which the tRNAs corresponding amino acid is attached (by aminoacyl-tRNA synthetases). tRNAs cope with the degeneracy of the genetic code in two manners: having more than one tRNA (with a specific anti-codon) for a particular amino acid; and 'wobble' base-pairing, i.e. permitting non-standard base-pairing at the 3rd anti-codon position. The record is from RNAcentral. Lineage: Bacteria; Bacillati; Actinomycetota; Nitriliruptoria; Nitriliruptorales.
GGAGGUGUGGCCGAGCGGACGAAGGCGCCGGUCUUGAAAACCGGUGGGCCCCUCGCGGGUCCCGUGGGUUCGAAUCCCACCGCCUCCG